RNAcentral lists this non-coding RNA (31 nucleotides) under Mus musculus (house mouse). The record is from RNAcentral. Lineage: Eukaryota; Metazoa; Chordata; Mammalia; Rodentia; Muridae.
UCUGGAACAGCCUUCUGAUUUCAUAUCCAAA